GAUGAACGCUGGCGGCGUGCUUAACACAUGCAAGUCGAACGAAGCACUUUAUUUGAUUUCCUUCGGGACUGAUUAUUUUGUGACUGAGUGGCGGACGGGUGAGUAACGCGUGGGUAACCUGCCUUGUACAGGGGGCUAACAGUUGGACACGGCUGCUAAUACCGCAUAAGCGCACAGCAUCGCAUGCUGCAGUGUGAAAAACUACGGUGGUAUAAGAUGGACCCGCGUUGGAUUAGCUAGUUGGUGAGGUACAGGCCCACCAAGGCGACGAUCCAUAGCCGACCUGAGAGGGUGACCGGCCACAUUGGGACUGGGACACGGCCGAAACUCUUACGGGAUGCAGCAGUGGGUAAUAUUGCAAAAUGGGGUAAAGCCUGAUGCAGCGACGACGCGUGAGCGAAGAAGUUUUGCGGUAUGUAAAGCGCUAUCAGCAGGGAAGAUAAUGACGGUACCUGACUAAGAAGCACCGGCUAAAUACGUG
RNAcentral lists this ribosomal RNA (481 nucleotides) under uncultured bacterium. RNAcentral's name for it is "partial 16S ribosomal RNA". It matches the Rfam family "Bacterial small subunit ribosomal RNA", at positions 28 to 507 of the family's 1533-position model. The record is from RNAcentral.